CCUACGGGGGGCAGCAGUGGGGAAUAUUGGACAAUGGGCGAAAGCCUGAUCCAGCCAUGCCGCGUGUGUGAAGAAGGCCUUCGGGUUGUAAAGCACUUUCAGUGGGGAAGAAAGCCUUGGGGCUAAUACCCUCGAGGAAGGACAUCACCCACAGAAGAAGCACCGGCUAACUCCGUGCCAGCAGCCGCGGUAAUACGGAGGGUGCGAGCGUUAAUCGGAAUUACUGGGCGUAAAGCGCGCGUAGGCGGUCUGAUAAGCCGGUUGUGAAAGCCCCGGGCUCAACCUGGGAACGGCAUCCGGAACUGUGAGGCGAGAGAGCAGGGGAGGAAGGUAGAGUUCCCGGGGUAGCGGUGAAAUGCGUAGAGAUCGGGAGGAAUACCAGUGGCGAAGGCGGCCUUCUGGACUGACACUGACGCUGAGGUGCGAAAGCGUGGGUAGCAAACAGGAUUAGAUACCCGAGUAGUC
Molecule: ribosomal RNA, 465 nt
Filed under: Vreelandella stevensii
Lineage: Bacteria; Pseudomonadati; Pseudomonadota; Gammaproteobacteria; Oceanospirillales; Halomonadaceae
Description: partial 16S ribosomal RNA
Rfam family: Bacterial small subunit ribosomal RNA
Source: RNAcentral